Molecule: ribosomal RNA, 520 nt
Filed under: uncultured bacterium
Lineage: Bacteria
Description: partial 16S ribosomal RNA
Rfam family: Bacterial small subunit ribosomal RNA
Source: RNAcentral
GACGAACGCUGGCGGCGUGCCUAAUACAUGCAAGUCGAACGCACUCUCGUUUAGAUUGAAGGAGUUUGCUCCUGAUUGAUAAACAUUUGAGUGAGUGGCGGACGGGUGAGUAACACGUGGGUAACCUGCCCUAAAGUGGGGGAUAACAUUUGGAAACAGAUGCUAAUACCGCAUAAAACCUAACACCGCAUGAUGUAGGGUUGAAAGAUGGUUUCGGCUAUCACUUUAGGAUGGACCCGCGGUGCAUUAGUUAGUUGGUGAGGUAAAGGCUCACCAAGACCGUGAUGCAUAGCCGACCUGAGAGGGUAAUCGGCCACACUGGGACUGAGACACGGCCCAGACUCCUACGGGAGGCAGCAGUAGGGAAUCUUCCACAAUGGACGAAAGUCUGAUGGAGCAACGCCGCGUGAGUGAAGAAGGUUUUCGGAUCGUAAAACUCUGUUGUUGGAGAAGAAUGUAUCUGAUAGUAACUGAUCAGGUAGUGACGGUAUCCAACCAGAAAGCCACGGCUAACUACGUG